UACGUAGGGGGCUAGCGUUAUCCGGAUUUACUGGGCGUAAAGGGUGCGUAGGCGGUCUUUCAAGUCAGGAGUGAAAGGCUACGGCUCAACCGUAGUAAGCUCUUGAAACUGUAAGACUUGAGUGCAGGAGAGGAGAGUGGAAUUCCUAGUGUAGCGGUGAAAUGCGUAGAUAUUAGGAAGAACACCAGUGGCGAAGGCGAUUCUCUGGACUGUAACUGACGCUGAGGCUCGAAAGCGUGGGGAGCAAACAGGAUUAGAUACCCGCGUAGUCCCU
This 274-nucleotide ribosomal RNA is filed under the name uncultured prokaryote. RNAcentral describes it as "partial 16S ribosomal RNA". It matches the Rfam family "Bacterial small subunit ribosomal RNA", at positions 524 to 798 of the family's 1533-position model. The record is from RNAcentral.